Meleagris gallopavo (turkey) is the source of this 2107-nucleotide non-coding RNA. Lineage: Eukaryota; Metazoa; Chordata; Aves; Galliformes; Phasianidae. The record is from RefSeq and is a predicted model, not a curated record.
UUAAAAAUUGUUUUUCAUUUUAACAGUAUUUCAGUCUGUCAAGGAAGAAGAUAGUUUUCUAUACCAGUUUUGACCAGCGGAAACGAGCAAAUGCAGCUUUUUUAAUAGGUGCAUAUGCUGUAAUAUACUUGAAGAAAACACCAGAAGAAGCAUACAGGACGCUUCUGUCUGGAUCUAAUCCACCGUAUAUUCCAUUUAGAUGAAUGUAUCUGGCACUGUUCUUAGACAGAACCGAGUGAUACAAGACAAUUGUGAGAAGGUCAAGAUCUGUUUCUCCAGGGGAGUCAGCAAUUUAUGAGUAGUGUUCGUUGUCAUCUGAUGCAUUUGAAAAUGUAGGCCUACCUUGUUUAUGUCAGAAGGUUUGUUUGUUUCUACAACCACUCAACAAGGAAUGAUCCAAUUGUCUCCAUUCCACUAGUGUCCACAGGAGCCAGAUACAGUAUGAACUUCUGGGAUGGCAGACUUAAAUGUGAAGACCAGUUUAACUAUAAAAUCUUAAACCAUCAAGCACUUCAUUUUAAAGAAUGGUAUCAAAUCAAUGAUUGCUUUUAUCAUCAGAGAGUUUAUGCAGUCAUCUGAUUGCUGGUGGUUCUCCAAAGACCAGGAAGUUUACUGAUUUGUUGACAUCUCUGUCAAUUAUUAUAAAAUUGGCUUAAAAAUUCACACAGUUGAAGUGCGUUUUAAUAAUAAUAAUAACUCUUAUGUCAAUGUUAUUUUCUAACAUCACCUCAUUCUAUAUAAAAUACAGGAAUUAUGAGUUAAGUUUAAGACAGUUUUCUUCACCCUUUUUAGGCUUGUUGGAUUCUAAUCUUCUCCUGAUCUGAAAUAAUUGCAUUGGCCAUUUCCACUUAUAGCAGGUUCAGCUCCUGGAAUAUUUCUGCAAACAGUUCUGAGGGUUGAAACAGUGUCAAUUCUUUUGUCUGUGUUUUUUUUCUUUUUUAAUUUUUAUUUUGAAGAAGAAACAAGUGAAAUACUUCUCCAGAAUUUUUCUCUUCUGGAGAUUACAGCGCAGCAUUUAAAGAGUCUAGAGAACUGCUUCUCUCUUUCCUAUCAAAUAGUGCUGUCUCAAUUGUUCAACUUAGGCAGGAGAUUAAUAACAAUCAAAUAGUAUUUUUCAUAUAAGAGUUUUAAUAACUAACACUACCUAGUUUUUUCAGAAUCUUAGCUUAGUUUAUUUUUCUUUAAAAGCAAAACUUAGUAGUGUAGGAAGCCAAACUUUUUCAGUAGUGUAGGAUGUGUGUUACCUGAGAAUAGCUUUAUUUUGUUCACCUAGUCUAGAAAACUUAUUGUUCAAAAUUAUAGUAAAUUGCUAUGUCUUUAGGUUCCUUCUCUACUUCUUCCCUUGUCAAAGAAAAAAUUAAGAUAUGUAGAAACAAGGUACUGACAAAGAAAAGAAUCUUAAUUAUCAACUCCUGAAAUUAAAAGACAGGAAACUUAGGAGCAAUUGUCUUUUUCUUGCAUGAAACUAUUCUGAAACCUUUUUUCUUCAAGAAAAAGUCCACUACCUAUACCUUGCAACCAAUCCCUUAUGAAGAUGCAAGUAAUAUAGUAGAAGUGCUGUUUCUGCUUGACUGGUGCAGAGCAGUGAGAGUAAUUGGUUCUGAUUUCUUGUGAGACUGGUUAAGAACUACAAAGCAAUUACGUUAAAUAAUUAUUUAACUUCAUAAUGAAAAUUAACAUGAUUGUAGUAUUAAUAUAUCAUUAAUAUUGCAAGUAUCAAACAAGCAUUCACAGCAGAGCCAGAGUCAAAAUUCACAAGAUUCUAUUCCAAAAUAGAAUAGUUAGCUACUCUGGGAUAGGAAAAGAGAGGAUUGAAGGGAAGCAAUCUUAAGCAGGGCCUUCCUGUUUACUAAAGGAACAUGGGGUUCUGAAGUUUGGGGAGAAUUUUUCUAUAUGCUGGAAGAAAUAAACAUCUUGAAUAUUUUUUUCUUAUUUGGUGUCAGGCUGGAAAGCACUUAAGUUUUUUUUUGACGGUGUUUUGCACUGUGUCAAGUCUUGGCACUGGGUAAAAGCCUAAGAAGAUUCUGUUACCUGUGUGGUAUAGUUUAUCAUGCUGGGAAAUAAAGCUUUCUAUUCUAGCUGUACAGGAGGUUAGAAAAAGAGGAGA